RNAcentral lists this ribosomal RNA (455 nucleotides) under Triticum aestivum (bread wheat). Its description in RNAcentral is "partial small subunit ribosomal RNA". The record is from RNAcentral. Lineage: Eukaryota; Viridiplantae; Streptophyta; Magnoliopsida; Poales; Poaceae.
GCCGCCGCCUCCCAUGCCACAGCCACCUCCCGUCGAUCGUACCCAAAUCCUCUGCGCGUGGUGGGAUUCCCUCAUGAGCCAUCGGUGUGCCGUUGCGCCGCCGUCGUUUGUCGCCAUCUUCACAUCGCCGCACCCGUUCCUUCCCAAAUCCUUCCUCGGGUGACCUAGGCAACCCCUAAGAGUACGACAAUCUCAGUUGAUUUCAAGGAAAGUGGCAGCGACUACCAUGAAUAGACAUCAUGUCCAGUGGCGACGCCACAAGAAUCACGUGUGUGCUUCAAUUCAAGACAAUGUCACCCUUUUACACUACGUCCACGUUGGUCAUGCCUACCCUUGAGGUACAACUCUCCUCUCCCUUACACAAUAUGACUAGGCUGGCGAUAAGGGUCAUGGCUUCAGAUCAAUAAGACAUGGCUUAGCCCUAACGUAAUACAAGGUGCCGACACAGACUGCAG